UGCACGGAGUUGGGUUCAUCACACUCCUCAGCUCAUGGCCCCUGAGAGGAUUGAAGGAAGGUUCUCAGUUUAAUAUUCUGAGGGCAGGAACCUUGCCUGAUCUGUGUCUCCUCUGAGCCCAGCACACAGGAAGCGCAACUAAGAAGGACCUUGAGGUUGGGUGUUGAAAAACUGAGAGAUGAGAGAGGCAGUGGCACAAAUUGUCCCCUUCUGGGUGGCAGGGGCGGAGACAAGGAUUGGCCACGGCUCGGUGAAGUGUCUGUCGUCUGGUGACCAGCUUUGGACAAACCUGGAGGAUACAGGGCAUGGUUUGUUGAGGGCACGUGCGGGGACUGGAUUUGGAAAGUCAAGUGAAGAGGGGUUGGGGAUGUCUCGAUUCUCAGCUCAGAGCUUUGAGGUAGAGAGGCCGAGGGCUCCUGGGCAGGGGAGUGUUAUAGGAGAGUGUGGGUUGAGAGAGGUGACCUCUGGGGACCAGAUGCACUCUUCCUGUGCAGGCUGGGCUCUUCCAGGCAGCCUCCAGCAGCCACACGUAGCCUUGUGGCUUCAGCGCGCAGCUAGGCACGGCCCGUGCAAAGGUUGUGAUUAUGUGGAUCAGAACCGGCUUUUCCCUGGGAGGAGGGGAAGGAUGUCUCCUCUUUUUCUUCUUCAGUUUUUCCUGAGAAAAAGAAAACAACAACAACAACAACAACAAAAACAACCAAACCCCCAAAACAAGGAAGUACUCCUCCCUGUGUCCUUCAAAGCGCUGUGGCAUCUUCAGAUCUGGGUACUUGAAAGCUAAAGCUGGUCAUAAUUUCCGAUGGACAUAAUGUGCAUUUGAAAUUCUUUUCCACAUCAAAUUAAAUCUGUCUUGGACUGAUUUCCUGGAAGUGUUUUUCAUUAGAAUAAUAGUCCUCAGCUGAGAGAUCAGAUACCGCAGAAGAGGAAACAGGAACAGGGGACCAUCAAGUACAUCCUUCAGGGAGAUACCCAGUGGUUGCCUCUGGGGGACUAUUCGGGAGAGACCAUCCCUUCUCUAGGCCUGUACCAGGGAAGAUGUCCCACCAGUUACUUCAGUGAUACAAUCUUUCUUUCUUUCUCUUUCUUUUCUUUUCUUUUUUCUUUUCUUUUCUUUUCUUUUCUUUUCUUUUCUUUUCUUUUCUUUUCUUUUCUCUUUUUUUUUCUUUUUUCUUUUCUUUUCUUUCUUUUUCUUUUCUUUUCUUUCUUUUCUUUUCUUUCUUCUUUCUUUUCUUUUCUUUUCUUUUCUUUUCUUUUCUUUCUCUCUCUUUUCUUGAGACAUAACCAGCAGGGGAGAGGGGCAGAAGGAGAGAGAGGGAGAAUCCUAAACAGGCUCCACACUCAGCACAGACCCCAAUGUAGGGCUCGAUCCCACGACACUGGAAUCAUGACCUAAGCUGAAAUCCAGAGUUGGACACUCACCCGACUGAGCCCCCUAGGCACCCCGUUUUUAACUUAAAGUGUAAACAAAAAAGGAAUUGGGUUCAACUAGGAAGCCACCCACUAACCCCCAC
RNAcentral lists this long non-coding RNA (1511 nucleotides) under Felis catus (domestic cat). RNAcentral's name for it is "lncRNA (ENSFCAG00000049286.1)". The record is from RNAcentral. Lineage: Eukaryota; Metazoa; Chordata; Mammalia; Carnivora; Felidae.